Molecule: transfer RNA, 672 nt
Filed under: uncultured beta proteobacterium
Lineage: Bacteria; Pseudomonadati; Pseudomonadota; Betaproteobacteria
Description: 16S-23S ribosomal RNA intergenic spacer
Rfam family: tRNA (bases 224-296)
Source: RNAcentral
CUGGAAGCAGCAGGACACUUUAGAUGAGCACCCACACUUAUCGGUUGUUGGAAGGCAAGUCCGCUGACGACUAUGGUAGAUAACCGUGGUUCCAAGUGACCGACUUAGUCUAUAGCUCAGUUAGUUAGAACACCGUCUUGAUAAGGCGGGGGUCGUUGGUUCGAGACCAACCAGACCCACCAAUGUCGUCAAACCAAGACGCAUCCAAUAUCUUUCGGCAUUUGGGGGUGUAGCUCAGCCGGGAGAGCGGCUGCUUUGCAAGCAGUAGGUAGCGGGUUCGAGUCCUGUCACCUCCACCAAUCUUUUAUCCAGCAAAGAUUCUUAUCAAGGUUUUGUAAUCAUCAACACCAAAGCUGCUUUUUAAGAGGCGAUUUUGGUGUUGAUUGAGGCAACUCAAUCAACAGGCUGUUCUUUAACAAUUUAUAGAGUUUAAUCAGCGUUGCUAGCGGAAAGCACACAUUCGUAAAGGUUUAGUGUGCACCGUGCCGCUAGCGACAAAUUUUGAUUGCGUCAAAAUGAAUAUCAGACUUCACGUUUGAAAUUCAGUAUAUUCAAGUUAAAUUGAAUACGGCAUAACGCGUCAGGUGAAAGACCUGACAAACAUUCCUUGAUAAAACGAUGGUAUUUCGAAAGAGUCCGCAAGGAUCUCAUGUUGAGAUGUCAAAGUUAUAG